RNAcentral lists this long non-coding RNA (269 nucleotides) under Linum usitatissimum (flax). Its description in RNAcentral is "long non-coding RNA (LUSI_LNC001111)". The record is from RNAcentral. Lineage: Eukaryota; Viridiplantae; Streptophyta; Magnoliopsida; Malpighiales; Linaceae.
AUAGAAAAUGUCGAUUCGUAAUUAGAGGCAGAUUUUUAAAAUUAGACAAUAUUGCAAUAGUAUAAAGAUGUAGCAAUUAAUAAACUCUACAAUACCCACUCACUAAUUCAUUCCAUUCUCAAAGUUCACUCUCAAAAUUAAAACAAAGAUUAUCAAUAUGAUGAAACUAGUAGCAUUUUGGGCUGUCCUAACAUUGGCUAUCACCACCGGCAUUGCUCCAGCCUCCGGUGCUCCAGCCGAUGCUGAUAAAGGAAGUGUGGUCCCAUCAA